RNAcentral lists this ribosomal RNA (117 nucleotides) under Ceramothamnion japonicum. Lineage: Eukaryota; Rhodophyta; Florideophyceae; Ceramiales; Ceramiaceae. The record is from RNAcentral.
UGAUAUUUAUAGCAUAAUGGACCCACUCCAAUCCAUCCCGAACUUGGUUGUUAAACAUUAUAGCGACGAUGAUACUUAAGGGGGAGCCCUUUGGAAAAGUAGUUCAAUAUCAGGGCU